This 159-nucleotide ribosomal RNA is filed under the name Coccidioides immitis H538.4. RNAcentral's name for it is "5.8S ribosomal RNA". It matches the Rfam family "5.8S ribosomal RNA". Rfam says of the family: 5.8S ribosomal RNA (5.8S rRNA) is a component of the large subunit of the eukaryotic ribosome. It is transcribed by RNA polymerase I as part of the 45S precursor that also contains 18S and 28S rRNA. The record is from Rfam by way of RNAcentral. Lineage: Eukaryota; Fungi; Ascomycota; Eurotiomycetes; Onygenales; Onygenaceae.
CCUUUUCACCACUGGCCAUCUGGGUUCCGCCUCUGAGGAAAAUACCGCCGCGAAAUUGUUACUUAAUUGUGAAUUUCGGAAUUCCGUAGAUCAUCGAAUCUUUGGACCGCACAUUGCCCCCUCUGGUAUUUCCCGGGGGGCCCGCCCUUUCGAGCGUCA